AAGUUGUACCAAACUUCGGGAGGUGUGCGAGCGCCCGGGAGGCAGUCGGCCGCGCUGACAGCCGGCCCUGCCUCCUCCCACACCCCGCCAGCGGCGCCCCCUCCCCACCCUCCGGUGCCCCUCGCCGGGGCCCGCCCGCCCCCGCCGCCCGGGGAGCCCCGCGGGGCGCGGAGAGCUGAGCGCCAGCCGGGGAGCAGCCGCCGGCAGCAAGAAAGUUAAAACGGUGGUGGUCGCGCACCUACCCGCUGUCUGUAAUGUCUCCUCCGGGCGCGGGGUGCUAAGACGAGGUGAAAUCCCUUUGCUGGUCAUGAGGCGGCUUCAGAGACAAACAACACAAUGCGAGUGCAAAUAACAAAAGGGAAAACAAAAAAAAAGAAAACAACACAGGAGAGGGAGACCGGGAACAAUGGGGGAGGAGAGGCUCGCCGCGCCGCGCCUGGCCGCCGCCGGCACCCCGGCAGGCAAGAGGAGGAGGAGGCGGAGGAGGAAGGCGAGGUGGCGGUAGCGGGGAGGGGGCUGCGCGGGGAGAUCCCCUACGCGCCGAGGCUGCCUCACACCGGCCCCGACCUCCCCCCUGCCGGCUGCUGCCUCCCGCCCCGCCGCGCACCGGGGCGGCCCUGCGCGGCGGCGGGGCGGCCAACGGUAAGUGACGCGCCCGCGGAGCCCGCUGACGGCCAUCGCCGCCACCACCACCAUCAUCAUCAUCAUCAUCACCACUGUCCUCCGGUGAGGGAGGAGGGGGCGGCUUUCCGCCGGUUCAAAGCGGUGGGGGGCACCGAGCCCUUCCCGCCUUUCGCCUCCCCUCACCCCGAGAACUUCACCGAGUGGGGCUGUCGCGGGUCCCGGGGACGUCGCUACUGGGUCCCUUCCCGAGGAGGAGUUCCCCCCUCCCGCUCCCUGCUAAGAGUAAACACCCGGGAGUUGCGUGUCCGUGGGCGUGUGCGUGUCCGCUGGCACCUCCUGCACCGGCAGCCCCUGUCACACCGGUGCGACCGCACGCACGGGCACCCGCCGCUGCCCCUUCAGCAUCCCCUCGCCUCAGCUCUUCCUCUUAAUUUUCGGGGACCCCGGCCGGCCGUAGGUCCCAAGCGUGUGCAGGAACCCGAGGGGGAAGCAGAAGUUUAAGGUCCCCCCGCGGCCCCCCCCCUCCGCGCUUUCCCCAGGGGCCGACACCGCCCCCCGCUCCUCAAAAAGCCAGGGCAGGUUGGAAGUUCACCCCCUCAUGCCCGCGCCGCGAGUAGGAUCGCGCGAGUGGGGCGCGCAGCGGCGGGGUUACCUCAGUGGCAGGCGGCCUGCGGGGCUCCUCGCCCGCCCGGGGUGGCGACCGCGGGGGCGGGAGGGCUGCGGGUCUCCGCCCGGCGGCCUGAAACCCGUCCCCGGGGCGGAGGGGCCGGGGGAGCCCCCGCCGUGUCACCGCUCCCCCAGGCAGGCGGGGAGCGAGCGUUGCGCCUGGCUCCGCAGCCCGCCUCUGCCCCGGACCCCCGUUACCUCCUCCUCCUCUCCGCGGGCACCCCCCCCGCCGCUCCUCGGGCGAGCGCUGCCGUGUCCCGGGCUGGCCCCGCGGCCCUGACACCGGCAGCCCACGGGGGCCCGCGGACACCCGGCCGGCCGCUCCCGGGGUUUCGCGUGUGGGUGGGGGUAUAUGCGUGGGUGUGUAUGUAUGGGGGGCGGGAGGGGUGUUUUCCUCUAAGCAGCCGUGUGUUCUGUCUGUACUUAAACCAGCUGUUUGGGAGCAAGUCCGUGUGCCGGCGGGGUGCGACGCGCCCCGGUGCGUGCCCGCGGUGCCCGGGCGCGGGGAAACGCGGGGAAGGAGCAGGGCGACCGGCGGCCGCGGCCCGGGGGUGGUGGCGUUGCUAAUAAAGUCACGUUAUGUGAAUAAGAG
This is a long non-coding RNA of Columba livia (rock pigeon), 1882 nucleotides long. RefSeq lists it as uncharacterized. The record is from RefSeq and is a predicted model, not a curated record. The transcript is spliced from 2 exons. NCBI's taxonomy places the organism in Eukaryota, Metazoa, Chordata, Aves, Columbiformes, Columbidae.